UUGGGAAGGAUCAUUACGGAUAUUGUCAAACAUGGGUGGUUGUUGGCUUCCAAACGGGGCAUGUGCACGCUCUGUUUACACAUCCACUCACACCUGUGCACCCUCUGUAGUCCUAUGGUUCGGAAGACCCCGUCUUCCUUCUGUAGCUCUACGUCUUUACACACACACUGUAGCGAUGUCUCAUGGAAUGUUUUUAUGCGUUUAACGCGAUACAAUACAACUUUCAGCAACGGAUCUCUUGGCUCUCGCAUCGAUGAAGAACGCAGCGAAAUGCGAUAAGUAAUGUGAAUUGCAGAAUUCAGUGAAUCAUCGAAUCUUUGAACGCACCUUGCGCCCCUUGGUUAUUCCUUGGAGCAUGCCUGUUUGAGUAUCAUGAACACCUCAACUCUCAUGGUCUUCCAUGAUGAGCUUGGACUUUGGGGGUUUGCUGGCCCUGCGGCCGGCUCCUCUCAAAUGAAUCAGCUUGCCAGUGUUUGGUGGCAUCACGGGUGUGAUAACUAUCUACUCUCGCGGUCGUCUGCCAGGUAACCCUCAGCGAUGAGGGUUCAUUGGAGCUCAUAAACGUCUCUCCUCGGCGAGGACAACUUUUGAACGUUCGAUCUCAAAUCUGUAGAU
This 615-nucleotide ribosomal RNA is filed under the name Tomentella sp. T6. RNAcentral describes it as "eukaryotic LSU rRNA". The stretch from base 219 to 373 matches the Rfam family "5.8S ribosomal RNA". The record is from RNAcentral. Lineage: Eukaryota; Fungi; Basidiomycota; Agaricomycetes; Thelephorales; Thelephoraceae.